This 74-nucleotide transfer RNA is filed under the name Vaucheria litorea. RNAcentral describes it as "tRNA-Met". It matches the Rfam family "tRNA". From Rfam's summary of the family: Transfer RNA (tRNA) molecules are approximately 80 nucleotides in length. Lineage: Eukaryota; Xanthophyceae; Vaucheriales; Vaucheriaceae. The record is from RNAcentral.
AGCGGAGUAGAGCAGCAUGGUAGCUCGUUGGGCUCAUAACCCGAAGGUCAGAGGUUCAAAUCCACUCUCCGCUA